CUUCGGAGGACAAAGUGACAGGUGGUGCAUGGUUGUCGUCAGCUCGUGUCGUGAGAUGUUGGGUUAAGUCCCGCAACGAGCGCAACCCUUGAACUUAGUUGCCAUCAUUCAGUUGGGCACUCUAAGUUGACUGCCGGUGACAAACCGGAGGAAGGUGGGGAUGACGUCAAAUCAUCAUGCCCCUUAUGAUUUGGGCUACACACGUGCUACAAUGGACAAUACAAAGGGCAGCGAAACCGCGAGGUCAAGCAAAUCCCAUAAAGUUGUUCUCAGUUCGGAUUGUAGUCUGCAACUCGACUACAUGAAGCUGGAAUCGCUAGUAAUCGUAGAUCAGCAUGCUACGGUGAAUACGUUCCCGGGUCUUGUACACACCGCCCGUCACACCACGAGAGUUUGUAACACCCGAAGCCGGUGGAGUAACCAUUUUGGAGCUAGCCGUCGAAGGUGGGACAAAUGAUUGGGGUGAAGUCGUAACAAGGUAGCCGUAUCGGAAGGUGCGGCUGGAUCACCUCCUUU
Molecule: ribosomal RNA, 516 nt
Filed under: Staphylococcus pseudintermedius
Lineage: Bacteria; Bacillati; Bacillota; Bacilli; Caryophanales; Staphylococcaceae
Description: bacterial SSU rRNA
Rfam family: Bacterial small subunit ribosomal RNA
Source: RNAcentral